UUGAGGGUCCUAAAGGGCCGUUGGAGACCACAACGUUGAUAGGUGGGGUGUGUAAGCGCAGUGAUGUGUUGAGCUAACCCAUACUAAUUACCCGUGAGGCUUAACCAUACAACACCCAAGAAGUGUUCUG
Molecule: ribosomal RNA, 130 nt
Filed under: Aeromonas salmonicida subsp. salmonicida
Lineage: Bacteria; Pseudomonadati; Pseudomonadota; Gammaproteobacteria; Aeromonadales; Aeromonadaceae
Also listed under: 1 other name
Description: partial 23S ribosomal RNA
Rfam family: Bacterial large subunit ribosomal RNA (bases 1-108)
Source: RNAcentral